UAACGAUACGGGACUCAUCCGAGGCCCCGUAAUCGGAAUGAGUACACUUUAAAUCCUUUAACGAGGAUCCAUGGAGGGCAAGUCUGGUGCCAGCAGCCGCGGUAAUUCCAGCUCCAAUAGCGUAUAUUAAAGUUGUUGCGGUUAAAAAGCUCGUAGUUGAAUCUGUGUGCCACGCUGUCGGUUCAUCGCUCGCGAUGUUUAACUGACAUGAUUGUGGGACGUCCUACCGGUGGGCUUAGCUCCGCGCAAGCGGGGCGGUCCAGCUAAUAUCCCAUCGCGGUGCUCUUCAUCGAGUGUCGAGGUGGGCCGGUACGUUUACUUUGAACAAAUUAGAGUGCUCAAAGCAGGCUAUGUUCGCCUGAAUACUGUGUGCAUGGAAUAAUGGAAUAGGACCUCGGUUCUAUUUUGUUGGUUUUCGGAACCCCGAGGUAAUGAUUAAUAGGGACAGAUGGGGGCAUUCGUAUUGCGACGUUAGAGGUGAAAUUCUUGGAUCGUCGCAAGACGGACAGAAGCGAAAGCAUUUGCCAAAAAUGUUUUCAUUAAUCAAGAACGAAAGUUAGAGGUUCGAAGGCGAUCAGAUACCGCCCUAGUUCUAACCAUAAACGAUGCCAGCUAGCGAUCCGCCGAAGUUCCUCCGAUGACUCGGCGGGCAGCUUCCGGGAAACCAAAGCUUUUGGGUUCCGGGGGAAGUAUGGUUGCAAAGCUGAAACUUAAAGGAAUUGACGGAAGGGCACCACCAGGAGUGGAGCCUGCGGCUUAAUUUGACUCAACAC
This 773-nucleotide ribosomal RNA is filed under the name Chartocerus sp. D0512. RNAcentral describes it as "SSU rRNA". It matches the Rfam family "Eukaryotic small subunit ribosomal RNA", at positions 477 to 1206 of the family's 1831-position model. Lineage: Eukaryota; Metazoa; Arthropoda; Insecta; Hymenoptera; Signiphoridae. The record is from RNAcentral.